RNAcentral lists this ribosomal RNA (465 nucleotides) under Vreelandella stevensii. RNAcentral describes it as "partial 16S ribosomal RNA". It matches the Rfam family "Bacterial small subunit ribosomal RNA", at positions 338 to 795 of the family's 1533-position model. Lineage: Bacteria; Pseudomonadati; Pseudomonadota; Gammaproteobacteria; Oceanospirillales; Halomonadaceae. The record is from RNAcentral.
CCUACGGGAGGCUGCAGUGGGGAAUAUUGGACAAUGGGCGAAAGCCUGAUCCAGCCAUGCCGCGUGUGUGAAGAAGGCCUUCGGGUUGUAAAGCACUUUCAGUGGGGAAGAAAGCCUUGGGGCUAAUACCCUCGAGGAAGGACAUCACCCACAGAAGAAGCACCGGCUAACUCCGUGCCAGCAGCCGCGGUAAUACGGAGGGUGCGAGCGUUAAUCGGAAUUACUGGGCGUAAAGCGCGCGUAGGCGGUCUGAUAAGCCGGUUGUGAAAGCCCCGGGAUCAACCUGGGAACGGCAUCCGGAACUGUCAGGCUAGAGUGCAGGAGAGGAAGGUAGAAUUCCCGGUGUAGCGGUGAAAUGCGUAGAGAUCGGGAGGAAUACCAGUGGCGAAGGCGGCCUUCUGGACUGACACUGACGCUGAGGUGCGAAAGCGUGGGUAGCAAACAGGAUUAGAUACCCGAGUAGUC